AAGGAAGUGAUCAAUUUAGUGUGAAGGAGCGAAGGACGGAGAAAUAAGCGAGAUGCAGAGAGGGGCAGGCCCUGUGAAAAGGAGAAGAUCUCCAUGCGAUGAUACUCUCUUGUCCCAGAUAAAAGAACUAAGAGAAGAUUCAGGAAGUCCAAGAUCACACAGCUAAGAAAUGUCAGAGCCAGGCUUGGAAGAAAGGCUUCAGGACAUUUUGAUCCAUCUUAUGGGUAUAAAUCUGAUAUGAUAUAGAAGGAUGAUGAGGAGGUUAAGCACACAGCGUUUAUCUUGGAUGUGGCUUCCAAAUUAUGUUGAUGCUUACCUUGAUAUUUACCUGACAUAGAUAUAGAUUUUAAAGCAUGGAAGAAUUAUUUGGCUUUUGUAUGCUUUUCGUGGAG
Long non-coding RNA from Canis lupus familiaris (dog), 392 nucleotides. RefSeq lists it as uncharacterized. The record is from RefSeq and is a predicted model, not a curated record. The transcript has 3 exons. NCBI's taxonomy places the organism in Eukaryota, Metazoa, Chordata, Mammalia, Carnivora, Canidae.